UUUGUCUACAAUCCAAAUAUAGAAAUAUAUACGCGCGUAAUCAUUAUAAUUAUUAACUUUAUACAAGACACGAGGAGAAGAUAUUUCGACGAUGACGUCAAUUGAAAAAAUAUAUUAAAUGAAAGAGAAAGAAUAUAAAAAGAUAAGACGAGAGAUAACGUGAGGUGAUUGUUCAAAAACAAGGUAAGAAGUUUUAUAAUAUUAUCAAGAUAGGAGAACAAGUUACAAGAAAAUCUCAUAACAAGAUUCGUUUGUACAAGGUUACAUUAGAGCUAUGUUAUGUGAACCUUACGAAGUAAUACAAAUUAGAUGAAUAAGUUCCUGGGUUAUAUGGAAAAUGGGUUUAUAAGAUAUACCUAUGUUGAUAUUAUAGUUCAGAAUAAUAGGAAAGUUGAGAUUUCGUUCUGCGUGAAAAUUUGACGUGCUUUUAAAUAAAAACGUUCAUUAAUUAAAAGAUUAAUAUUAAAUGAUUUUAAGAUACAAACUUGAGGCUCUUGUAUAACACACUACUCUGAACAACAACAAGAAAAAUGAUUUUUAAUAUAAUACAAAGUAGAUGUAAAAUAUUAUAUUUAAUAUAAUGAGUAUAUCAAAUUAAAAAAUACUAUAUUUCUGUAUAAGUAAUAUAUACAUCUAAUUU
Polistes canadensis is the source of this 640-nucleotide long non-coding RNA. RefSeq lists it as uncharacterized. The record is from RefSeq and is a predicted model, not a curated record. NCBI's taxonomy places the organism in Eukaryota, Metazoa, Arthropoda, Insecta, Hymenoptera, Vespidae. The transcript has 2 exons.